This 292-nucleotide ribosomal RNA is filed under the name uncultured bacterium. RNAcentral's name for it is "partial 16S ribosomal RNA". It matches the Rfam family "Bacterial small subunit ribosomal RNA", at positions 505 to 796 of the family's 1533-position model. The record is from RNAcentral.
GUGUCAGCCGCCGCGGUAAAACGUAGGAGACAAACGUUAUCCGGAGUUACUGGGCGUAAAGGGCGUGCAGGCGGUCGACUAAGUCUGGCGUGAAAGCUCGCGGCUAAACCGCGAGAGGUCGUUGGAUACUGGUUGACUAGAGGACGGUAGAGGCGUGUGGAAUUCCGGGUGUAGUGGUGAAAUGCGUAGAGAUCCGGAGGAACACCAGUGGCGAAGGCGACACGCUGGGCCGUACCUGACGCUAAAACGCGACAGCAUGGGGAGCGAACGGGAUUAGAAACCCCCGUAGUCC